Mycena metata is the source of this 90-nucleotide non-coding RNA. Lineage: Eukaryota; Fungi; Basidiomycota; Agaricomycetes; Agaricales; Mycenaceae. The record is from the annotation of a GenBank genome assembly.
CACUCGAUAGCAUAUGGUGUGCACCUGUUUGACCUGGAUGUGGUGGGUAUGGAUAUGCAGGAGGUCUUGGUUCGAUUCCAGGUUGGGUGA